UGCCAGCCGCCGCGGUAAUACGGAGGGAGCUAGCGUUGUUCGGAAUUACUGGGCGUAAAGCGCGCGUAGGCGGACUUUCAAGUCAGGGGUGAAAUCCCGAGGCUCGACCUCGGAACUGCCUUUGAUACUGAUAGUCUUGAGUCCGAGAGAGGUGAGUGGAAUUCCUAGUGUAGAGGUGAAAUUCGUAGAUAUUAGGAAGAACACCAGUGGCGAAGGCGGCUCACUGGCUCGGUACUGACGCUGAGAUGCGAAAGCGUGGGGAGCAAACAGGAUUAGAUA
This 279-nucleotide ribosomal RNA is filed under the name uncultured bacterium. Its description in RNAcentral is "partial 16S ribosomal RNA". It matches the Rfam family "Bacterial small subunit ribosomal RNA", at positions 506 to 784 of the family's 1533-position model. The record is from RNAcentral.